Molecule: long non-coding RNA, 518 nt
Organism: Bombus impatiens (common eastern bumble bee)
Lineage: Eukaryota; Metazoa; Arthropoda; Insecta; Hymenoptera; Apidae
Exons: 2
Source: RefSeq, a predicted model, not a curated record
GAAAAAAAUCCGAAGAUCGAUCGAUCGUGUAGAUCACCAUCGAGUCGAAAGGAAAGAAUAGGAUGGCCAACUUUGCUACUCGAAGAGAAACGAUAGCCAGCUAACGACCGAUAAAAGAGCAGAGCGCGCGUGACACGUUAUAGCGCGAUGCGACGCAUAAACGCGCGCACACCGAGGCGGAAAUGGCGCAUUGUGCGGUAUCCCUAUGGCGGGAUAUCUGCGAUUCUGGGUUGGAAGGCAUUCGACGCCACGUAUGCAGGUGAUUGCGUUCGCCAGUGCAAUGCGACUCGAACCAGGAUCCAGGCAUUUCGAUAUUAGAAUAGCAAUGAGUUAAUAAAGGCGGGUCGACGGUGAUGUUCGCUCGACAAGAUUGGAAAUUGCGCUCACCGUUCCGAUUUUUAUUCCUAAAAUAUUGUAAUUUAAGCCCAUGAUUUGCACGCAUAUCUGUAAAUAGGUGUUCUUUAUCGCGGUAGAGUUUAUCACCAUAAUUUGUCAAUUAUAUGCUGUAUAUAUAUCGC